UCGAACGAGAAAGUUCCCUUCGGGGAACGAGUAAAGUGGCGCACGGGUGAGUAACACGUAGGUAAUCUACCUUCGGGUGGGGAAUAACGCAGGGAAACUUGCGCUAACACCGCAUAAUGCAGCGGCACCACAUGGUGACAGUUGUUAAAGCGGGGGAUUUUCGAACCUCGCGCCUGAAGAGGAGCCUGCGGCAGAUUAGCUAGUUGGUAGGGUAACGGCUUACCAAGGCGACGAUCUGUAACCGGCCUGAGAGGGCGGUCGGUCACACUGACACUGACAUACGGGUCAGACUCCUACGGGAGGCAGCAGUCGGGAAUUUUGGGCAAUGGGCGAAAGCCUGACCCAGCAACGCCGCGUGAAGGAUGAAAUCCCUCGGGAUGUAAACUUCGCAAGAAUGGGAAGAAUGAACGAGCGCUAAUACCGUUCGUGAUGACGGUACCAUUUGUAAGCUCCGGCUAACUCCGUGCCAGCAGCCGCGGUAAUACGGGGGGAGCAAGCGUUGUUCGGAUUUACUGGGCGUAAAGGGCGCGUAGGCGGCCAGCGCAAGUCAGUUGUGAAAUCUCCGGGCUUAACUCGGAAAGGUCAACUGAUACUGCGCGGCUAGAGUGCAGAAGGGGCAACUGGAAUUCUCGGUGUAGCGGUGAAAUGCGUAGAUAUCGAGAGGAACACCUGCGGCGAAGGCGGGUUGCUGGGCUGACACUGACGCUGAGUGCGCGAAAGCCAGGGGAGCGAGCGGGAUUAGAUACCCCGGUAGUCCUGGCCUUAAACGAUGGAUGCUUGGUGUCUGGAGUUUUAUAGU
RNAcentral lists this ribosomal RNA (799 nucleotides) under uncultured Bacillota bacterium. Its description in RNAcentral is "bacterial SSU rRNA". It matches the Rfam family "Bacterial small subunit ribosomal RNA", at positions 62 to 838 of the family's 1533-position model. The record is from RNAcentral. Lineage: Bacteria; Bacillati; Bacillota.